GACGUAACGCUGGCGGCGGCGCCUAACACAUGCAAGUCGAACGAGCGAGAGAGAGCUUGCUUUCUCGAGCGAGUGGCGAACGGGUGAGUAACGCGUGAGGAACCUGCCUCAAAGAGGGGGACAACAGUUGGAAACGACUGCUAAUACCGCAUAAGCCCACAGGUCGGCAUCGACCAGAGGGAAAAGGAGCAAUCCGCUUUGAGAUGGCCUCGCGUCCGAUUAGCUAGUUGGUGAGGUAACGGCCCACCAAGGCGACGAUCGGUAGCCGGACUGAGAGGUUGAACGGCCACAUUGGGACUGAGACACGGCCCAG
This 313-nucleotide ribosomal RNA is filed under the name uncultured bacterium. RNAcentral's name for it is "bacterial SSU rRNA". It matches the Rfam family "Bacterial small subunit ribosomal RNA", at positions 32 to 334 of the family's 1533-position model. The record is from RNAcentral.